Molecule: long non-coding RNA, 597 nt
Filed under: Lynx pardinus (Iberian lynx)
Lineage: Eukaryota; Metazoa; Chordata; Mammalia; Carnivora; Felidae
Source: RNAcentral
UCUCUUCAGGGAUGACAUCAUCCGUUCACCUCCUUGUCUUCAAGGACCACCUCUCGAUGCCAUGCUGCUGCCAAGGUGCUUGCUGCUCACCUCCACCUGAUGGUACCUCAGCCCCUCUUUGUGGCAGUAUAUACUCAACCUGAUGGGCAGAAUCCCCCCUCCCCCCUGCCACUCUCCUUGCACCACGCCCGGGCCCAUUAGCAAUUAAAAGACCAUUUGAGAUUUUAACUCAUUGGUUUUUGCUGUAAAUAACUCACUGAAAUUUUAAUGACUACCUCGACUUAGGCUUUUAAGUGGGUCCUCUAACCUUUGAUCAAUUGCAGAGGGCACUAGGAGUUCGACCCCUGGAUGGCACCAGCGUCCAAAGCAGCCCCUGGCAGAGACCCCUUCCCCCCCCUGUGGACCAGGAUGACGAAGGACGAAGAGGACCAGGACCGACCACCCAGCUCUCCCUCUUGGCUAAAUGCUCAAAACCAAUGCCCUAGUGAGGGGGCAUUGGUCGUUAACCUCUGACCUUUGCUAUCUUUGAACACUUUCCUAUAAGUCUCCGCUUGCGUUAACGUGCCAGCGACCUGGAGUGUUUCCCUCCCCAAAAAG